Molecule: long non-coding RNA, 794 nt
Organism: Cryptotermes secundus
Lineage: Eukaryota; Metazoa; Arthropoda; Insecta; Blattodea; Kalotermitidae
Exons: 2
Source: RefSeq, a predicted model, not a curated record
CGUUCUGACCGUUCUGACGACGCAGUGUGCUGUGGUCCCCUGGGUAUGAGCAAUAUUUAGUGUUAAAAAAGACUACUGCACGAAAUACGGUCUGAUGUCCCUGUCGUGGUUCUUUGGCAGUAAAAAGAAGGUUCCUGAUACUGAGCCACAAGACUACACUGCAAAAUCACAAGGUGAUGGCUUCGUUUUUGUAGAGAGUGCGGAUAAUCAGCAAAGUGGCAGUGAUUGUGCAGGACCUUCUCAUUACCCUGCAUUACCGUAUUCACUUGCACCAGACUCAACAAUUGUUCCACAGACAUCUACAAAGGACACAAUUAACAUAUCUCAGAAUCACAAUUUGUUGUAUGGAGUACCUUUUAAGCUGCAUUCUGAUACUGCUUCAGUCAUAAAUGACCUUGUGUAUAGGUACAGAAGCCAUGCUAAUGAGGUGUUCUUGCAUAUAUCACAGUUAAAUCUGGAAUCAUUUGAGUAUCAUUUUCUUGUAGAAAGAAGUGUGGUGCUUGAAGUUGGAGACAGAGAUUUAGGUUAAUCAGAAGUGUGCCCAUCAUUUAUGGUGAUUAUAAAGCCUAUCACUAUGACAUCGUGGUGCAGUAUAUUACAUAUUGACAAUACAUUUAGAUGUUGAGAUACCAUAAGUAAUAUUAUCAUGUACAUAUGAACUUGAAUGUUAUCACUCUAAGGCAAUGUAAUGGUGCUGAAUGUUUCUUUAAAAAUAAGUUUGCAGUGAAUAUUUCUGUAAAAGUAAAAUAGUUUAAUUACAUUCCUCAUGGGUAAAUUUGAGUGAAUACAAAAGA